AUUGAACGCUGGCGGCAUGCCUUACACAUGCAAGUCGAACGGUAACGCGGGGGCAACCCUGGCGACGAGUGGCGAACGGGUGAGUAAUACAUCGGAACAUAUCCAGUAGCGGGGGAUAACCUAUCGAAAGAUUGGCUAAUACCGCAUACGAUCUACGGAUGAAAGCGGGGGACCGCAAGGCCUCGCACUAUUGGAGUGGCCGAUGUCAGAUUAGCUAGUUGGUGGGGUAAAAGCCUACCAAGGCGACGAUCUGUAGCUGGUCUGAGAGGACGAUCAGCCACACUGGAACUGAGACACGGUCCAGACUCCUACGGGAGGCAGCAGUGGGGAAUUUUGGACAAUGGGCGCAAGCCUGAUCCAGCCAUGCCGCGUGAGUGAAGAAGGCCUUCGGGUUGUAAAGCUCUUUCGGUGAAGACGAAACGGUUAGUGUUAAUAACACUGACUAAUGACGGUACUCACAGAAGAAGCACCGGCUAACUACGUGCCAGCCGCCGCCGUAA
Molecule: ribosomal RNA, 500 nt
Filed under: uncultured bacterium
Lineage: Bacteria
Description: partial 16S ribosomal RNA
Rfam family: Bacterial small subunit ribosomal RNA
Source: RNAcentral